Molecule: ribosomal RNA, 492 nt
Filed under: uncultured bacterium
Lineage: Bacteria
Description: partial 16S ribosomal RNA
Rfam family: Bacterial small subunit ribosomal RNA
Source: RNAcentral
AGUGAACGCUGGCGGUAGGCCUAACACAUGCCAGUCGAACGGCAGCACAGUAAGAGCUUGCUCUUACGGGUGGCGAGUGGCGGACGGGUGAGGAAUACAUCGGAAUCUACUUUUUCGUGGGGGAUAACGUAGGGAAACUUACCCUAAUACCGCAUACGACCUACGGGUGAAAGCAGGGGAUCUUCGGACCUUGCGCGAUUGAAUGAGCCGAUGUCGGAUUAGCUAGUUGGCGGGGUAAAGGCCCACCAAGGCGACGAUCCGUAGCUGGUCUGAGAGGAUGAUCAGCCACACUGGAACUGAGACACGGUCCAGACUCCUACGGGAGGCAGCAGUGGGGAAUAUUGGACAAUGGGCGAAAGCCUGAUCCAGCCAUACCGCGUGGGUGAAGAAGGCCUUCGGGUUGUAAAGCCCUUUUGUUGGGAAAGAAAAGCAGCAGGUUAAUACCCCGCUGUUCUGACGGUACCCAAAGAAUAAGCACCGGCUAACUUCGUG